UAAUACGGGGGGGGCAAGCGUUGUUCGGAAUUACUGGGCGUAAAGGGUUUGUAGGUGGCCUGCUAAGUCAGACGUGAAAUCCCUCAGCUUAACUGGGGAACUGCGUCUGAGACUGGUAGGCUCGAGGACAGGAGAGGAACGCGGAAUUCCAGGUGUAGCGGUGAAAUGCGUAGAUAUCUGGAGGAACACCGGUGGCGAAGGCGGCGUUCUGGACUGUUUCUGACACUGAAAAACGAAAGCCAGGGGAGCAAACGGGAUUAGAUACCCCGGUAGUCCUGGCCCUAAACGAUGAAUGCUUGGUGUGACGGGUAUCGAUCCCUGUCGUGCCGAAGUUAACGCGAUAAGCAUUCCGCCUGGGGAGUACGGUCGCAAGGCU
This 376-nucleotide ribosomal RNA is filed under the name uncultured bacterium. RNAcentral describes it as "bacterial SSU rRNA". It matches the Rfam family "Bacterial small subunit ribosomal RNA", at positions 521 to 895 of the family's 1533-position model. The record is from RNAcentral.